Molecule: long non-coding RNA, 1566 nt
Organism: Spodoptera frugiperda (fall armyworm)
Lineage: Eukaryota; Metazoa; Arthropoda; Insecta; Lepidoptera; Noctuidae
Exons: 5
Source: RefSeq, a predicted model, not a curated record
GGGCGGCACUUUUUUAUAAAAAUAUUUUGUAAAUAUUUCAACCAUUUUAUAUUUUUUUCGCAACUAGAGAUCGGAGAAAGUAGUGAUAGUGGGGAUGGAACCUUUAACGAGUGGUCCUGCCCCGAGAGGGGCACCUGAGGCAAGAAUCCGACGAUUCGUCGGAACCAGUAAUUGGUAGGGUAAAAAAGGUGAAGGCAAAAUCAAGUUCCCACGAUGUGGGACUUGAAGAAGCUCAACGCCAACUGAGGGCGUCUCUGGCGCAAGCCAAGCGGGUGGAGGCGCAAAAGGACCUGGAGGAGAAGGUCGCCGCCAAGGAGCGCGCAACCGGUGCCGCAAGGUCCAGGGCCGGCUACGGGGCUUCCAACGUCCUCUACGCAGACCACUCAGUGGCUGAGCUAGCGCAAAUGGCGCUGGAUGACAAGGAGGAAAUUUUGGAGGUGGCCUCCAAGUCUUCCAACCUGAAGGGAUCGGCUGUUGCCGACAAUGAAAUAGGAGGCGAUCUGUCGCUGCCGGCCGUCGUACGCAAGAUGGUCGACAGCGCGGAGUCGUGGGACGCGGUAGUGUCCUUCUGCGAGAACGUGAUGUCGCACCGGGCGCAGGAGAAGGGCGGACAACGCCCUCUUCCAGCCCCCAAUGGGUCCAGGGGCGCGGGACUUGGGGAAGUCCCCGCCCCCUAUUCCAUAGACCCGAGGUGAUGGCGUGCGCGGGUGUCGGCGCGCGCCUCCGAGACGAUGCACGGGGUAGCCCAAACUUACCUACCCCGUGCAAGAGAUGAGGUCAGGACGGACCUGGCCGGCAUGUGAUGUGGGGCUGCGGAAGAAUCUGGACUCUCGCGGCCCCCACGAUCACGUGCUAAGUAGACACCGGGGGGUUUUAGCCGGUAAGAGUCCGGCAUACCCCUCCGCCUUUCCCCUGCCAGAGGAAGUCCAUGAGGAUUUCACCCCGACAAAAAAAAACAAAAAAUAAAGGUUUGGGUUAGGUUGGGUUGGGUUAGCUUAGGUUUGGGUUAGGUUUGGGUUAGGUUUGGGUUAGGUUUGGGUUAGGUUUGGGUUAGGUUUGGGUUAGGUUUGGGUUAGGUUUGGGUUAGGUUUGGGUUAGGUUUGGGUUAGGUUUGGGUUAGGUUUGGGUUAGGUUUGGGUUAGGUUUGGGUUAGGUUUGGGUUAGGUUUGGGUUAGGUUUGGGUUAGGUUUGGGUUAGGUUUGGGUUAGGUUUGGGUUAGGUUUGGGUUAGGUUUGGGUUAGGUUUGGGUUAGGUUUGGGUUAGGUUAGGUUAGGUUUGGGUUAGGUUUGGGUUAGGUUUGGGUUAGGUUUGGGUUUGGUUUGGGUUAGGUUUGGGUUAGGUUUGGGUUAGGUUUGGGUUAGGUUUGGGUUAGGUUUGGGUUAGGUUUGGGUUAGGUUUGGGUUAGGUUUGGGUUAGGUUUGGGUUAGGUUUGGGUUAGGUUUGGGUUUGGUUUGGGUUAGGUUUGGGUUAGGUUUGGGUUAGGUUUGGGUUAGGUUUGGGUUAGGUUUGGGUUAGGUUUGGGUUAGGUUUGGGUUAGGUUUGGGUUAGGUUUGGGUUAGAUUAGGU